RNAcentral lists this ribosomal RNA (539 nucleotides) under uncultured fungus. RNAcentral describes it as "eukaryotic LSU rRNA". The stretch from base 199 to 352 matches the Rfam family "5.8S ribosomal RNA". The record is from RNAcentral. Lineage: Eukaryota; Fungi. RNAcentral also lists the same sequence under 1 other name.
AAGGAUCAUUACCGAGUAAUUGGUCGCUAUUUUUAAUGGCACCAACUCCACCCUAGUGUUUACUAUAACUUGUUGUCUCUGGCAAAGCGUUUUUGCUUAAACCAUUGAUAGGGAUAAACCUAUGAAUGUGUCUUUGCCAAAGUAAUUACUACUCUUACUUUUUAAUGAUUGUCUGAGUUAUCAAAUAAAUUGAAUUAAAACUUUCAACAACGGAUCUCUUGGUUCUGGCAUCGAUGAAGAACGCAGCGAAAUGCGAUAAGUAAUGUGAAUUGCAGAAUUCAGUGAAUCAUCGAAUCUUUGAACGCAUAUUGCACCUUUGAGUAUUCUCUGAGGUAUACCUGUUUGAGCGUCGUUUAACACUAUAAAGCUUUGCUUUUUUUUAGAAUUUGGUUAGAAAUAUCCAAUUUCUCAAACAAAGUGGCGUCAUUUUUUUGUCGAUAUACAGUGAAAAUGUGUACUUGAUAACGAAAUGAUCAUUUCGCCCAUCUCAUUAAAUUUGUUCGACCUCAAAUCAAGUAAGACUACCCGCUGAACUUAAG